GUACACGCUGUGACUAGCAUAUCAAUAAGCGGAGGAAAAGAAACUAACAAGGAUUCCCCUAGUAACGGCGAGUGAAGCGGGAAGAGCUCAAAUUUGAAAUCUUAAAGGGUUUCCCUUUACGAAUUGUAGUUUAAAGAAGUGUUUUCUGUUGAGGUUUUGGUAAAAGUUCUUUGGAAUAGGACAUCAUAGAGGGUGAGAAUCCCGUAUUUGACCUUUACUUUCAACUUUGUGAUACACUUUCAAAGAGUCGGAUUGUUUGGGAAUGCAGUCCAAAAUGGGUGGUAAAUUUCAUCUAAAGCUAAAUAUUGGCGAGAGACCGAUAGCGAACAAGUACCGUGAGGGAAAGAUGAAAAGAACUUUGAAAAGAGAGUUAAACAGUACGUGAAAUUGUCAAAAGGGAAGCGUUUGACACCAGUGUUGUUUUUCUGAAAGUCAAUUAAAGAACUGUUUAUGCUAAGUUGUUUAGACUUUAUCAGCUAACUGUUUAGUUUUGAGCUUUUCUUUAAUGCACUUUCCAGUUAACAAGUCAACAUCAAUUUCUUUUGCUGUAAAAAAGCUUGAGGAAGGUGGCUUGAGAUUCGUCUUAAGUGUUUAUAGCCUCUUGCCUAUGCAGUCGGAGAGAUUGAGGUCUGCAGCGUAGAUCCUUCGGGGCUAAAUGCAUUUGUGCUAAGUUAUAGCAUUUUAUAGACAACUUGUUGACUAUGAUUUGUCUUGUAGCUUACUCGCUUAUGUUAUUUUACCUACGCUUAGGAUGUUGAUAUGCAUGACUGAUAU
Molecule: ribosomal RNA, 774 nt
Filed under: uncultured Neocallimastigales
Lineage: Eukaryota; Fungi; Neocallimastigomycota; Neocallimastigomycetes; Neocallimastigales
Description: partial large subunit ribosomal RNA
Rfam family: Eukaryotic large subunit ribosomal RNA
Source: RNAcentral